UCUCCGUAGGUGAACCUGCGGAGGGAUCAUUACUGAGUGAGGGCUUCGGUCCGACCUCCACCCCUUUGUGAACCAAACUUGUUGCUUCGGGGGCGACCCUGCCGCUUCGGCGGUGCGGCGCCCCCGGAGGCCAUUAAACACUGCAUCAUUGCGUCGGAGUUAAAGUAAAUUAAACAAAACUUUCAACAACGGAUCUCGUGGUCCCUGCAUCGAUGAAGAACGCAGC
RNAcentral lists this unclassified non-coding RNA (226 nucleotides) under uncultured fungus. RNAcentral describes it as "sequence contains ITS1, 5.8S rRNA gene". The stretch from base 178 to 226 matches the Rfam family "5.8S ribosomal RNA", at positions 1 to 49 of the family's 154-position model. Lineage: Eukaryota; Fungi. The record is from RNAcentral.